This 268-nucleotide ribosomal RNA is filed under the name Salmonella enterica subsp. enterica serovar Anatum. RNAcentral describes it as "partial 23S ribosomal RNA". It matches the Rfam family "Bacterial large subunit ribosomal RNA", at positions 1300 to 1569 of the family's 2925-position model. The record is from RNAcentral. Lineage: Bacteria; Pseudomonadati; Pseudomonadota; Gammaproteobacteria; Enterobacterales; Enterobacteriaceae.
ACAUAAGUAACGAUAAAGCGGGUGAAAAGCCCGCUCGCCGGAAGACCAAGGGUUCCUGUCCAACGUUAAUCGGGGCAGGGUGAGUCGACCCCUAAGGCGAGGCCGAAAGGCGUAGUCGAUGGGAAACGGGUUAAUAUUCCCGUACUUGGUGUUACUGCGAAGGGGGGACGGAGAAGGCUAUGUUGGCCGGGCGACGGUUGUCCCGGUUUAAGCGUGUAGGUGUGUGUUCCAGGUAAAUCCGGUUCACUUUAACACUGAGGCGUGAUGA